Molecule: ribosomal RNA, 462 nt
Filed under: uncultured bacterium
Lineage: Bacteria
Description: bacterial SSU rRNA
Rfam family: Bacterial small subunit ribosomal RNA
Source: RNAcentral
UGCCAGACUCCUACGGGAGGCAGCAGUGGGGAAUAUUGCACAAUGGGGGGAACCCUGAUGCAGCGACGCCGCGUGGGUGAAGGAGCACCUCGGUGCGUAAAGCCCUAUCGGCAGGGAAGAAAAGCGAACAGGUUCGCCUGGACGGUACCUGACUAAGAAGCCCCGGCUAACUACGUGCCAGCAGCCGCGGGAAUACGUAGGGGGCUAGCGUUAUCCGGAAUUACUGGGCGUAAAGGGUGCGUAGGUGGUUUCUUAAGUCAGAGGUGAAAGGCUACGGCUCAACCGUAGUAAGCCUUUGAAACUGGGGAACUUGAGUGCAGGAGAGGAGAGUGGAAUUCCUAGUGUAGCGGUGAAAUGCGUAGAUAUUAGGAAGAACACCAGUGGCGAAGGCGGCUUUCUGGACUGAAACUGACGCUGAGGCACGAAAGCGUGGGGAGCGAACAGGAUUAGAUACCCCCGUAC